This 256-nucleotide ribosomal RNA is filed under the name uncultured bacterium. Its description in RNAcentral is "partial 16S ribosomal RNA". It matches the Rfam family "Bacterial small subunit ribosomal RNA", at positions 524 to 776 of the family's 1533-position model. The record is from RNAcentral.
UACGUAGGCAGCGAGCGUUGUUCGGAGUUACUGGGCGUAAAGGGUGUGUAGGCGGUUCCGUAAGUCGUGAAGUCAAAAUCUCUGGGCUCAACCCAGAAUCGCUUCCGAUACUGCGGUGACUGGAGUCCGGUAGGGGAGUGUGGAAUUCCUGGUGUAGCGGUGAAAUGCGCAGAUAUCAGGAGGAACACCAACAGCGAAAGGCAGCACUCUGGGCCGGUACUGACGCUGAGGAGCGAAAGCAUGGGGAGCGAACAGG